CCUACGAGGUGCAGCAGUCGAGAAUCAUUCACAAUGGGGGAAACCCUGAUGGUGCGACGCCGCGUGGGGGAAUGAAGGUCUUCGGAUUGUAAACCCCUGUCAUGUGGGAGCAAAUUAAAAAGAGAGUACCACAAGAGGAAGAGACGGCUAACUCAGUGCAAGCCGCCGCGGUAAUACAGAGGUCUCAAGCGUGAUUCGGAAUCACGGGGCGUAAGGCGUGCGUAGGCGGUUUCGUAAGUCGUGUGUGAAAGGCGCGGGCGCAACCCGCGGACGGCACAUGAUACUGCGAGACUAGAGUAAUGGAGGGGGAACCGGAAUUCUCGGUGUAGCAGUGAAAUGCGU
This 342-nucleotide ribosomal RNA is filed under the name uncultured bacterium. RNAcentral's name for it is "partial 16S ribosomal RNA". It matches the Rfam family "Bacterial small subunit ribosomal RNA", at positions 338 to 691 of the family's 1533-position model. The record is from RNAcentral.